UUUUUCUUUCCCCAAGAUUUUUUUAUAUAUAAGAACACAGGCUCACACAAAACGAAGGGGGGCUCACGUUUCUUCUUCUCCAUUAGAGAAAAAAAGCAGCAGCGGCACAUUACAGAAAACGAUCCCCUCUCCCGCUGAAGCUUCGUCGUCUUUUUCGAGACCUCACCCGACCCGUUUUUUUUCCUUCAACUCCUCCUCUCGCCAGUCAGUGGCGAACUCGCCGGAAAACUCACAAAGCUCCAUCGCCACUGCUCCUUCUUCUUCGUCUAUCAUAGCUACAACAGCCAUGGAACCUGCUUGAAUCCUCCAUAAAACAGUUCAGCUUCGAAACAGAUCCAAACCCAGCGUGAAAACACACAAGAGAAGCGGUCUCGCUUUCGUAUAGGAACAAAUCUCGAACUGCUACUAUUUUCGCAGAAAAACAUCCCAAAAUAAUUUUAAACCAUCCGUUACUGUCAUGGAGUUCGCUGGUCUCGUUUUUUAGUUUUAGUUCGAGUUUUCCGGCGAGUUUCAAGGCUUCCAUGUCGAGGCUCCGGUUCGUUAGUUUCAUUGUUUCAGCCUGCGGAUCAUGGCUCUGGUAUGUUUCUUAGAGUUCAUUGAUUCCUGUUGCUGCUUGUUGCGUCACUUUCUGUCCUCGAACUUCUUUCGUAAUUUAUUCUCACGUCAUACUAAUUACGGGUUCGUCGAUGUAUUCAGUUUCGUUUCAUUUUUGCUUUACCACUGUUGGUUUUGGUUUACAUGUUAUCAAGUAUACAGUAUAAUUAUGGUGUAUUAUGACUUGAAGCCUAGUGUUGUUUUAUUUUCUGUGAAGCUUGAGCAAAUUAUCUUUUAUUUCCAUGUUUUAGUUUUUUUUGUUUUGUUUAAGCAAAUGAUAGGCUGUCAUGUACAUGCCGCUUGGCUAAACAAUAAUUGAAGGUCAUUAUUUGGGGGAAGUGUUAAAUUUAAUUUGCAAAGUUUAUUCAUUGAAUGUUCUUGACCAUGUCUAAAGUGAAAGCAUCGUAUAUUCAUUAUUGACUGUGUAUCUGAGCGUUCAUUUGGGCAUAAUUGAGGGAUGUUAAGUUGGUAUUUUGGUAGGACACCAUCUUAAUUUGCCAAAUUUUAUUGUCCAUUAAAUUGCUUUAAUUAUGUUAAGUCAAUUUGUGAUAAUUAGAAUCCUGCAAAAUCCAGUGACCUUGUUUAUAUGGUAUCAUAUGAAAGGAUAACUACAAUCUUUUAGGUAAAAUGGGUCACGUCAUCUGUUGAGUGGGAUGUGUUUGUCUAUUCCAAGGGAUAAUUAAUUAGUUAUUAAAAAUGAAUAUCCGUAAUUGAAUGUCUUUCCUUUAAUAAAAGUGAGGUGUGCCGUGCCAAAUAAAAAUUACAAUUGCGUGGUUCUCACUUUACUUGCUUUUGAAUUGAUCCUUAGAUUCCGAGGCGUGCCAUUUAGCUAAAUUUCAUGGCCCUCGCAAAUUACAAAUUCGGAAUUACUUUAGGCACGUUAGUUAAUAAUACUACCUUCUUAAACUCGGGUGUGCAUUGAUGCAACCCAAAUCCAAAUCUCGACGAAGUCGAAAUGUGUUGACAACCACGGGUGCCUUGAUGGCGACGGGGUUAAAAAUGCGUUUUCAUGACGUCGUAAUUCUUAUAAAACAAAUAGUAAUUGAAAAAUGGUUCAAAAAUGGAGACGAGCCUCACUGAACAAGAAUAAAUGUGGGGCCCUCAAUAUUUGGUUAUUUAAAAAUGAUUAGAAUUUGGAAGGGUCGUUUAGCGAAUUUCAACGGCCUUUCCCAAACAAUAUUACGUUAGAACCUUUAAGCGUGAUUUAAUUAAAUUAUUUUCUUAAAUUUGGGUGCGCAUUGAUGCGACCCAAAUCCAAAUCUCGACGAAGUCAAAAUAUGUUGACAACCACAGGUGCCUUGAUGGCGACGUGGUCAGGGACGCGUUUUCACGACGUCGCAAGUCUUUUAAAAUAAAUAAUGUUAAAAGCGGUAUAUAAAUAAAAGGCACAUAAGUUAGCAUGUACUAAAAUCAGAUAAAAUCAAAUGCAACAGUUAAGCGACCGUGCUAGAACCACAGAACCUGGGAAUGCCUAACACCUUUUUCCGGGUAAACAGAAUUCCUUAUUCGGAUUUCUGGUUCGCGGACUGUGAACAGAGUCAUCUUUUUCCUCGGUUCAGGAUUCAAUUGGUGACUUGGUGAACCCGGGAAUGCCUGACACCUUCUCCCGGAUUAACAGAAUUCCUUACUCGUAUUUCUGGUUCGCAGACUGUAACAGAGUCAUGUUUUUCCUCGGUUUGGGAUUCAACCGCUGACUUGGGACACCAUUAGUCUCCCAAGUGGCGGCUUUGAAUAAUUAAUAAACUAAAUCCCGUUCUGAUUGUCCUUUAAUUGGAAAAACUCCUUUACGCCCUUUUACGGGGGUGUACAGCGAAAAAGGAGGUGUGACACUCAUUAAUAAGCCUAUAACCAUGUACAAACCCUAGACGACCCAAAUCAAUGUGAUCAUCUUCCAACCAACACGUGUAGUGUGACACAAACCUGUCAUUAUACCUGUCUGGUUCAAUAGAUUCCUUCCCUAAGACGAGCUUGCACUGCCACAUGUGCUGAGCUUGACAAAUGUGCGGGCUAUCAUCAUCUUGAAAGGCGGCCCUAAAAUGACUCAUCUUCUCUAUCCUUGGUAUGAUCUGCUUUCUUCCAGCUUGAUUCAUGGAUCGGAGAGGAACACAAGGUAAGUUCCUCUUAAGCCGAUGAGUAUAAGGAAUGGUGUAUCUCAAGAACGGAUAAUGAACUCCCUUGUUGGGAACCACUUGCUCUUCCUUUAGAUUUUCAAACAGCUCUACCCAUCCACUGGCAUCCUAUGGAUGAACAAACAUGUUGGGCAUGAAGUUCAUGCGCUUUGGGUGGUGAAAAGUGAUAUGGUCAUCCCAGUCCCUGCGUAUGAUUUCCUGUCUGUAGUCGCCUUCCUGAAGGUGUUCUAUGAGCCAAAGCUGAAGUAACAGAUUGCACCUUCCAAAGUGUGGGGCUCCUUGCUCACAUUUUCCUAAAGCUCAAUACAUUUCGGCAAUGAUCAUUGGCAUUAUGCUGAAAGAAUGCCCAUCAAUACCCUCCAUCAAGGCUUUGGAAACCAUGGCUAGUUUGGUGUGGAUCCUAGCCUUCUUCAUCGGAAAGAUCAUCAUACCCAAGAAGCAGAACAUGAACACAAAGACCCUUUUAUGUAUGUGCCCCAAAGAUGUAAGGGCGAACUCAUCAGGGUAGGUGCAGAGACCUUGUUGUGGCCAAACCUUUCAUAUAGGAAGUCAAGUGGUAUGUAGGACUCCUUUAGACAAGUCAGAUCGGGAUUCUUCUUAAGUCCCAUCAUUUUAAGGAAACCCCUUCCUUUGCGAUUUUCUGGCAUAAGUAGACCUGGAGUCUCCCAGAGUAUUCCUGCUAGACCCCCUAUUUCUUCCAGCAACGGGGUCAUCUUGAGGUCCCCGAAGCAAAAAUCUUACAUGUCACUGUCCCAGAAUAGAGUGUCAGCUUCGAUAAUCUUGUUGUCAAGCUUAACUUCCAAAAGUGAAGGAAGGUUUCCUAAGUAUUUGCGGACGAGGGUCUGAUCACUGGCAUGAUGGGGUUCUCAAGGUCCCCGAAGCGAAAAGCUGACCUAUCACUAUCCCAGAAUAAAGUAGGAGCUUCGAUAAUCUUGUUUUUAGGCUUAACUUCCAAAAGUGAAUGAAGGUUUCCUAAGUAUUUGCGGAUGAGGGUCUGAUCACUGGCAUGAAGGUCCUCCCACCAGCUUUACAACCUCGGGUGAAUGUUGGAUACUAUACCGAAUCUGGGGACUUUGUGCCUCAUUUUCUACAAAACAAAGUGUUAGGCUCUUAACCCCACCAGACUCGACUAUUUAAAUAAAUAAUUAGCAAAAAAGACAUUUAGUUCUCCAAAUAAAUGCACAUUACGUGGAGAUGUUCGUUUAGGUUCCGAGGAAACUCGGUGGACUUUGGUUUAGGCUAUCUUAAUGAGUUAUUAUGUGGACAACAUAACUGACUCGGCUAGGGUUGACCAUUAUGCAUGAACAGUUUAAUGGAAUAAGGUUUCUACUUUUGAAGUUCUAGAAAAUGUACCCUUGAGCGGACAACUCAAGAGGGAAAGGCGCAGAACCGUCGAAUACACCGUUGAUCGACUGGUUUUACUGCAGAUAUGCCUUUGCCACAUUUAUAAUAUUAGAAGGGCGCAACAACUCAUUAUAAGCGUUGAUAUAGGAUUUGUUUUGGCAUGAGUGGAAUAUGAUGUUGAGGAAUGCAAUUACAACAAUGAAACAAAUUACAUGUAUUUUCACAUUCAUAAAGUAAAGAUUACAAUAAAUGGUCGGAAUUGAAAUAAUAAUAAGGCAAUAAAAGAAAGAAAAAGGAAAGAAAACCAUUAAGAGCCAAGUUAGUAUUCAUGAUGAAAUAAUUAAAGGCAAGAAAAUACAGGCAAUUAAGGGAGCGAUAAAGUCACAAAAGCACGUAAUGGUAAAAGCCUUAAAGUCUCCCCAGCAUAGUCGCCAUGAUGUCGACGCUCCCUCUUUUUUCAAAAGAGUGUAAUUGGUUUUACGACAUUAUGGACAAAACAUUUCUAAUUGGUUUUUGAAGAGUCGCCACCUAAUGAUUAUAGUGCAUUAGGACACUUAAAAGAAAAGAAGAAGAUUGUUGAAGGAAGACUAGAGUUCGGGUAAGGGCUUGAGAUUUUCUCGAGGAGAAGGUGUUACGCACCCCUCAAGAUCCACUAGUGUGGUUCCCGGCCGUACUUAGUUGUGACUUUAAGAAGAGUAAAAGUAAACAAACAAUGUUUGCACAUAAGGAAUAAAUUGGAAGUUUUGAAAGAAAAGAUAGGGAAAAGACAUAAGUGGUUUUGGAAAAAGAUUAAUUGAAGAAAACAUUAAUUCUUAACAAAACAUCACAUCAUAUAAAUAAAGAAAAGGGGUCCUAGGUAUAAAUAUAAUAUGGAUCAGUUUGGUACAAUAAACAGCAACCAUUCUCAUAAGUGAUAUUAGCGCACCAGUCAUCAUAUCCAUAUUCUACCCUUCCCACCUCGUUAAUGUAGUGCACCAGUCACCAUAUACAUAUUCUACCCUUCCUACCCCAUUAAGUUAUUAAACAUGAUUAGUCUCAUUUACUUAUUGCAUAUUAAUACCCGUCCCAACCUGUCAGUCCCGGGUUCAAGACUCCUAAUCCUAAAAAGGGGAAGCAUAGGCAUAUGUGGAGUUUCAAAAGGAUAAAAGGCUAAGGCGACAAGCAAAACAAGUAGCAAAUAUUGAAGGACGAAACAAAUACACGAAAGGCUCAUUUAAACCCCAUGAAUCACAUAGAAAUUAGUUUAGCAUGUCUUGCAUAUACUGAUUUGGUCUUUAAUAUUAAACGGUGGACAGAUUAAUUAACACAUAGAGUUGGAUACAAAGUCUGCAUUAGGCAACCCAGAUCCAAUUGUUAGAAGUUGGGGUAUUUUGUACAAGUUAUUGAUUUCAGACAAGAGCCUAAUGUAGAAGAGUUAGAAAAUAGAAAGUUGAAAAUUGCAGAGGUUCAGAAAUGACUUUGAAAUCUACAUAUUUGCGUGAGUGAAAAACAAGAGAGUCAUGAAAUGUCAUAAUACUUUAAAAGAAAAAGUGAGCGAAGGGACUGUUUUGAAAGAUAGUUUCAAAAGAUACAUGAAAUUUAGGUAUAAGGUUUAAAAGAAUUGUUUCAGACAGACUUGCAAAAUUUGGAAAGCAUUACAUGCUUAUAAGAGUUUUGAAAACGUGAUACCGAAACACUAAAACCAGUUAUCGAUUUACUACUUAAAUAGAUUAAGCGAUACGGACUUGUUUUGAAUUUUACGGAGUUGGUAAAUAGACGGCAUGUCCGGUUAUCCUAUGGUUUUGCCUAUGCGUAUAUAUUUCCUAUAGACAUGGUUUCUAUUGCAUGAAUAUUAAGUCCUAUAGGCAAGAUUUCUGAUGACUUGCAAUAUGACUGAAUAUUACACCUUAUAGGCAAAAUUUCUAUAUGAUCGGAUUGUGUGUUAUGCAUUAAAUCUAUAGGCAUGAUAUCUAAGUAGUGUAGUUCAAACAUUAGAACUCUAUAGGCAUAAUAUCUAAAUAAUUGAAUUACAACAUGAAUCCUAUAAGCAUGGUAUCUAAGUGGUCGAGUUCAAAUAUUAAAACCAUAUAGGCAUGAUAUCUAAGUGAUUGAAUUGCAACAUGAAUCCUAUGAGCAUGGUAUCUACCUUUGGAUGCAAAAAUAAACAUAGACCCAUCCCAUGCCCCUUACUAAUUUAUCCCCGAGUUCUUUUUACAAGAUUAUUACAAAAUUAGAAGAGAGAAUGUAAACAAAAAUACAUCAUAGCCCACAGCUAGAUCCGAGCAGCCUAAUAUCCAAUACAUGUGUUUCACCAAAUUCGGAUUCAAAAUUCCAAGGUCUUCUCUUAUUCAUAGUGUUUCAAAGUUCCAAGGAGCUUCAAGAGCUCAGUCAAUGCUUACAUUGUAACAGAAUAGUGUAAGUGUAGAAUUACCAGCCCUCAGGCAUCCAAGUUCAGAGGACACUCCAAGGUCCCUAAGCAUGGCUUACCAAUAGGGGGGGGUAGAACUUAGGAACUAGGAAUGAGUGCAAAGUGAGAGGGAAACCAUAGCAGAGGGUUGUCAUACCCAGCUAUGGCAUAGGCUGGCACACCCCUGACCCUUUGCUUAGGUCAAACAAAUAGGAGCAGACUCUAGGGAGUCAAACUUAGAGUCUGAGUGGUGAUUAGGACACUACCAGACCCAAUUUAAGGCUCAACACAUAAAGGGAAUAGGGAAUGGGAAAGCAUUUGAGUAGACUCAGGAGAGUCUGAUUCUGGAUAAUGGACAACAAUAUCAGAUGCUGCCUUGAUUCAGAACAGUACUAGCACACAAAAAGGGAAUAUGGGGAAAAGAUUUUCAUACAGAAGCAUACACUAACAUAAAAAAAUAUAAGAAAACAUAGCAGACUGCAGAUGCAAAGAUCUAUAAGAACAUGCUAUAGAACAUGAACACAUAGUGAUGAAUGUGUAGAAGAAGAGAAGUAAAUACACAUAAUAGGAAAGUGUUAUUUAACUUAGAAGCACAUACCAGUUUUGAGUUCUAGUACCGCAGAGAAACAAUAGCAAGUAGCAACCAGACAGUUAGCAGAAAACUUCAGCAAGUACUUGGGAGUUCAGAAGAACUACAGAAAUAUUCAGACAAUAGGAGAUAAAGGAGCAGAGUGCUUGGUAGCAGUAGAGAAGGUAGUAGUAGAGAGCGUAGUAGUAGAGAAAAUAGUAAAGAAAGACAUGGGUGAUUAUGUGUUGCAAAGGUUCAGAAAGAAUUCUGAGAACUGUGUUGUGUUCGAGUGUUUUUGUGUAAAAACUUGUGUUUUUUUAACUUGUGAGAGUUGUGAGCUUUUAUAGUGCAAAAAUGAGUAGACAAGAAGUCAAGGAAAUAAAAUCUCAGUCAAUCAAAUAAAAUCUCCCUUAGUCAAAGGGAUUUGAUUUCAAAAAAAGAAUUCUGAGAACUGUGUUGUGUUCGAGUGUUUGUGUAAAAACUUAUCCUAGAACUUCUGAGAGCUGUGAGCUUUUAUAGUGCAAAAAAACGAGUAGACAAGAAGGCAAGAAAAUAAAAUCUCAGUCAAUCAAAUAAAAUCUCCCUUAGUCAAAGGGAUCUGAUUUCAAACAUGAGUGGUAAUUAAGGGAAGAAAAACCUUUCAGAGUAUCAUAAUAAAGGGUAGGUUCAUACAGAGUCUAUUUAAGGUAAGAAACUAUAGUACACGGUUUUGAAAGAAUAAGGAAACAAAGUAAUCAAAUAGCCGGAAAGUUUUAAAAGCUUUUAAUGAACUUAGUCGGGAAAAUAGGGAAAAGGCUAAGUUGUAAAAAUUAGUAGCAAAUCAAUCGAGCCUUAGCGAAGGGGAUUGAAAUCAAUCAAAAACUAACAAUAUUAAUUCAAAAAGAACAAAACCCUCGCAUAUAAGCACGCUAGUAUCAAGCAAGAAGAAAGAUUGACAUAAACAGUUUUUGAAUCAUAAGCAAAAAAGGAAAGCAAGUUUCAGUUCAGUCUAUGAACUCAGCACAAAUUUGAGAGCCUAAGGUUUCUAGAGUAGAACCCUAGAACCAAAAGCUCGCGAAACCCCCCAGGUUUCUAUCCGAGUAGGACACACAAAAGAGAAGGCAAACUCAACAAGCCUAAAAGAGUUCCCUGAGGAAAUACAUAGACACACGUAGCAAUCAAAAGCAGUAGAGUGAAAGCUUGUAAAGAACAAGUUUUAAGAAAACUAAAACUCAGACCAGUUCAGAGAAGAGAUGCCAUAAGAGUUUAGGAAACAGUGAAAGAAGCAACUUCAAUAACCCAAAUAGAUUCAGUAAAAGUAAACACUUUCAGUAGCAGAAAUAGUAAAGGGACAAGCAAGAUAGGCGUAUAAACAUGUUUGUAGAAAAAUCAGUAGAAGCGAUAAUAGAACAAAGGCGAAAAGACAUGCAUAUUAACGACAAAUCAUAAGGAACAAACAAAAAUCCCCUAUAGCAUGGAAUGAACACACAGAUCCACAUAAAGAAAGAAGAAGAAGAAGAAGAAGAAGAAGAAGAAGAAGAAGAAGAAGAAGAAGAAUCAUUUUAGGAUUUUUGAAAAACCCUAAUUUGAACAGACUAAUUUUGAAAAGAAAAAUUAGGUGAAGUCCUUAAAACAUAGAAUAGAGCACAGAUCUGCUACAUAUCUAAGAAAAAAAGGAAAGAAAAACCUCGAAUCAAGCUUUUUAGGGUUUUCUCAGAAACCCUAUAGAUGAGAAGGCCUGGAAUGGUCUGGUCCCUAAACAAAUCUGGGCCAAGGCUAAGCUUUUCAGAGCUCAAACACACCGGAAUGGAGCCAGAGAAGCCAAAGGAGCUCAGGUCAGCGGAGGACCUGAAUAGGUUUGUUGAAGGUUGAACCUUGAAAGCCUCGGAUAAUCAUGGCUUGGGGUGAAAGGGUGGAGAAUAUAGGCUGUCCAUGGCCUAAGAAGCCAUGGAUGCCGGUGGAUUUGAUCGGAGACGAAAGUAGGCGGCUAGGGUUUUCGAGUGGCCUAGAGAGCAUUUGAGAGAAGAAAGGAUAUGGGGGCGGCGGUCUUAGAGAAAUGAUUUAGGGUUAGGGUAAUUGGAAAUUAAAAAAGGUAAGAAGAAACGUGGGCCGUUGAUCAAAAUGAUCAACGGCCAGGAUUGAAUGGCGGAACCGGGCGGGUUUAACGAAUUGGGUUUUGGGCGGGUUGGAUUGAAAUUGGAUCUUUUAAUUGGGGUUGAAUUGAGGUCCAAAUUGAAGUCCAAUUGUGGCUAAAAUUGAAAUGGAAAUGGGUCGGCUUUUAAAUAGUCAUUUUUCCUCUCUUCAAUUAAUUAAAAUAGUUAAAAAUAACUUUAAAAUAAAUUGGAAGUACUGUUAUACCACAUUUUAAUACGGUUCAAACUAGAGUAUAACAUAUUGGCAAUUCUGAAGGUUUAAUUAAAUAAAAAGAGUCACCACCUAAUUAUUUUAACGGUGAAUUAGGACACCAAUUUUAACAUUUUAGCUAAGUAGUGCUUAAAAUUAACUCUGUUUAUGAUCUACUUAACCUUAGAGAUUAUGGAUAAGGGUUCUACGUAAUCCUAUAGAGAAGGUUAUGAAGGCACCCUAUAUGAUCCGUUAACUACGGUUAACCGGCCAAACUUAGGUUAAUUGAGUUUUUAAAAAAAGUAAGUAGUAACAUAUAGCAAACCUUAUUAUCAAAAAUGUUCAUAAUAUUGUAUUUACCCGCCUAGUUCAUAGUUUUGCUACAAAAUCUAUACCAAACCAAAAAUAGAUAGAUUAUACCCUAAAAAGGCGCCAAAUUUGUACAAAUCAGAUUUAAUGGUGAUUCUAUCACCAUUAGUUUCGAAAUUUAUAACGGAAGAAAAUCCAUUGCAGCGUAAUUCUUUCCUUCUCCAUAUAUUUUCCACCAUUGAUAGCCAUUAAAAAGCUUGAAAGCUUUGAAUUCAAAUUUGGAUUUUCAAAAAUUAUNNNNNNNNNNNNNNNNNNNNNNNNNNNNNNNNNNNNNNNNNNNNNNNNNNNNNNNNNNNNNNNNNNNNNNNNNNNNNNNNNNNNNNNNNNNNNNNNNNNNNNNNNNNNNNNNNNNNNNNNNNNNNNNNNNNNNNNNNNNNNNNNNGGUGAAAAUUAGACUUGGUUUUGUUUGAAUUUCAGAUUGAAACUCGUCGAAGAAGAAGAAGACAUAUUUUUUCAGAAAUUGUAGUUAAAUUGUAGAUAAUUUGUAGAUAAAUUAUAGAUUGGGAAGAUUAAAACUUCUACAAGUCUUCUACAAUUAUGUCUAAAAUACCAAUUAUACUACAAUUGAAAUGAGAAUUGGAAUAUUAAAAUUCAAUGUAUUCAGUUUGUAGAUACAAUUUCUACAAAUAAACUACAAAUCAGUUUAAGUAUUUUCCUUCUCCAUAAUUUUCCACCAUUGAUAGCCUUUAAAAAGCUUGAAAGCUUUGAAUUCAAAUUUGAAUUUUCAAAAAUCAUUAUCUGUUUGGAUUGGGUGUUGUUGUAAAUAAUUCAAAAUAUGUUUAGAGUUUAUAUCUCAAUUUUGAGGGGUUUUGACUGAAUUUCAGAUUGAAACUCGUCGAAGAAGAAGAAGACAUAUUUUUCCAGAAAUUGUAGUUAAAUUGUUGAAUUGUAGAAUUGUAGAUAAUUGUAGAUUGGGAGGACUAAAACUUCUACAAGUCUUUUACAAUUAUGUCAAAAAUUCCAAUUAUGCUACAAUUGAAAUCAGAAUUGGAAUAUUAAAAUUCAAUGUAUUCAGUUUAUAGAUACAAUUUCUAUAAAUAAACUAC
This 10758-nucleotide long non-coding RNA is filed under the name Nicotiana benthamiana. RNAcentral's name for it is "long non-coding RNA (NBEN_LNC018547)". Lineage: Eukaryota; Viridiplantae; Streptophyta; Magnoliopsida; Solanales; Solanaceae. The record is from RNAcentral.